Long non-coding RNA from Lolium rigidum, 635 nucleotides. RefSeq lists it as uncharacterized. The record is from RefSeq and is a predicted model, not a curated record. Lineage: Eukaryota; Viridiplantae; Streptophyta; Magnoliopsida; Poales; Poaceae. The transcript has 3 exons.
CUGGUUCUUGAAAAAAAGUCUUUUUUGACUCAGUCACUCAGGCCUGAUGUCCUAAUUUUUUUUACUACAUGGUACGGUAGUAAUAAGUACCAAACAGCUAUAUAUCCAGUAGUCAUGCAUUCACGGAUUUACUGGUGAACAUGAUCUGUCAUUUAAAUCAGGCAUGAUGUCCUAAGUUUUGCUUCAUGUGUUGCAGGUGUUGCCUACACUUCUUGACCGUCUAUCAAGGAAUUCAGGCUAAAGAAGCUACAGAAUCAGCUUUUAAGGAUGGAAAACAGCUAUUGCAGGACUACCAUCUGUACCAGGUUCCACAUAGAUGUUGUUUGUCAGGUGAAAAGGUCCUGGUUUGUUUCUGUUCAGCUGAUGGCGAGGGUGAAAUUGAGAUGACAGGAAGCAUGCUUCUCAUUACAGAAUUAUGUGAUCACUUUGUACCUACAGAGAAAGCGACCCAUACAAAAAAGUACGUCUUUCUGUGCAUUCUUAUGUUUAUUUGUAUCUAUACUACAUUGUUUUAAUCGGCGAGCGAGUUCUCAUGGCUUGCUGUAUGGCGGCCGUGAUGCAUCGGCGAAUUUCACUCGUGCUUUCUCUAUUUGCAUUCAGAUAUCACGUAUUUAUCGUGUACAAGCACACCAAUA